Non-coding RNA from Megalopta genalis, 2683 nucleotides. NCBI's taxonomy places the organism in Eukaryota, Metazoa, Arthropoda, Insecta, Hymenoptera, Halictidae. The record is from RefSeq and is a predicted model, not a curated record.
GAGAGUGUAUACGUACGUUAAUUGCAAUGUAAGUUGUGGUACACUUUCGAGUGUUUUAGAGACUGAAACUAGUAUUAGUGGACCUUUAACUACGAACACAAAAUUAGUAUCUCCUGCAUGUACAGAUCUAAUCAUAUCGCUGUCUGCUUGGACGAAUGAAACAAGAGCCUGCAUAACGCCCAUCACUGUGACUAGUUUAUCCUCAGAACUGUAUCUAGAGUAUAUAGGUUUUCCAGCCUGGCUUAAAAUAAAUAUAUGUUUCCUUUGAGCCAGCCAUGUUUUGCAACGUAAGGGAUCGGAAUCUAAACUACUCUGACCUAUUCGAUGGGUGACACCCUCCUGAAACAAAAUGAAGGAAAUACUUGCUUUAAGAAACUCAUCUAAAUAAACUGUAGAGGUAGAAGAGGAAGCAACUCUAGUGAAAACCUACUAAACCCUGAGACAGUGUCGAAAAUAAGAUCCACAGGAUAUUGUACCUUCGAUCAUCCAUUCGCCGGAGGCACCCCAACCAGUGCACACUCCGAAGUAACCGAUUCCGAACGGGUCUGGAUCGGUAUACGUGAGGAAUGCACUCGGUUCGCCUUCCUUGCCCACGGAGAUAGCACCAUCGCCCCAUCUGGAACAAUUAUCGUGUGAGUAAUCAUUCUGGUAACUACCAAGAUCGCUUAAUACUAUCUAGCAUCGAACCGAUCAUCUUCAUUUCCCACGAAAUACAAUUUUUAAACGAAAGCCUGUCUACUUCGACUUCUUAUUACCCUUUUUUUUGCUUAGGCAGUUAUUUAUCGAAUACAUUUCUUCUCUCUGGCUCUUGUAAUUACAUCAUUGUAAUAUUUUCUUCCCAGUCACAUCUAUGGAUACAUACAUAACUUCGUUUCUAUAACAUUUUAUUGCGCGAUCUUGAUCAAUUGGACUUCCGAGAGUCUCGAUUACAGAAAGAUAGUGCCCUGCCUUGGAGACUUGAAUGCGUGGUGAACCACGACCGACCGUUGGAGGCCGACCUUAGAGCAUCCGAACUGUCCACGCCUCUCGCUCUAGAAGCUAUCGAUAUCAAUGUUUAUUAAUGUACGGCUCACCUGAUCCAAAAACCGCGGAAUUCGUCAGGACUUAAUAUACCAGGUGUCUCGGCUUCCGCGGCUUCGGGUUUCGCUCUAUUCUUGCGAAUCACGGAUUUGCCGUUGCUCCAUCCGCCGAUGAAAACCUGAUACGUUAAUAUUACACCAUUGUUAUUGUUGUCGUUGUUAUUAUCAUCGCGUUCUAUUGGAACAUUGUCGUCUUGUUUACCUCGUACAUGGGUUCUCCCUCCUCGGGGCCGGUGGUGAGAGCAACGUGGGCGUCGUUCGCUGCCUUCACCCGGAACUGAACCUGCCCGGUAGCGACGGGGUAGAAUUUGUAUUCCAAUUUGUCCUCGGUGGAGAGUGCUGCCGAUACAAAAUUACAAUGUUAAUCGAUGUCACUGAAUGAAAUUACCGCUCGUUAACAUUUUUACAGCUGGACUUUGACUAUUUCUCCUUGGUCGGUAUAAGUGGUCUUUAACAUUCCGGUCGUUACGACGCCAGCAAAUAAUAGCGGAGGAAGUCAGCUGGGGAAUAUUCAGUCGCUACGAAGAGACUGUGGAGAAUUUGAAGAAAAUUUCAAACGGCAGGGAAGACGAGUCGUCUUUGAAGCGAAUUUUUUACCUGAAAUCCCAUCGAUUUCAAAGGAGAAUUCUGGACACAAAAUAUCCCUGACAGAUGCAAGCCAAACGCCCUAGCUCAAGUUCUCGAUGUCUGAAAAGCUACUUGGAUCGAUCCUCGCGGCCAUGUGUACCUUCAUCAUCGGACUCGAAGCCGAUCGAACGUAGCCGUGUGCUCUGCUAAAGCGAAGUUACGUAACUAUUGCUUUCAAUAUUACAUCAUCACGCUCCAGUCUUUUAUAAUAUUAACAACGACGCUGAAAGUUAAGUACAAGAUUGUAGUGACUGUAACGUCGAACAAUUCGACAAACUCUAAAUUUAUAAACCUUUAUGUAUUCUACGUUCAUUUAUUCCAAUUCUAGUAUUAAUGUAUUUCUCUGCUGGAAAGGGGAUGAAUUUAUUAUCGAUCGCACAACAUCCUACAAGAAAAAGCUUAAGUUUGAAAAAGUCAAGAACGCAUAAAAUCCAUAAUUUGAUUAUGACGAAUGGUUUUCUUCAGCGCAUGCAUUCAGCCAGGGGUGGUAACGACCACCCUUGAGCACAAUAAGGUCAAUUUACCAGGAGAAACGAGCAAACAGGACGAUUUUUAUUCGACAAAAGUGGGGCAACGUUUUUCCAACGAACAUACCAGACGUCUGGACGCCGGUCUGAUGAUACAGCGAACGAAAGUAGGACAAUGCAGGACUCGCAUCGAUCAAUAUCCCGGUGGCCGCAAUAAUUACGCGUCUAGAUCACGUCUCGCGCGAUUAGAAAUCUUCGCCGAUGAUCUCGACACAGUCGAUAAACGUCUGCGAGCCUAACGGACUUGGAGCUCGAAGGACGAGAGAGCCAGGAUGAUGACUUCAUACUCGAUUACCAACACUGCGGACCUUCGUGCAGAAUAAAAGUUAUCCGCGCCUAUUGCGAAACGUGGAAAUAAUAAUUGAGAUGCAAUUUCUUUCCAUUAAUCCAUUCGCUAUUUGCAUUGUUAAAAAGUUUCAAUAAAAGCGAAAUGCGGAUUUUAGAUAUUUA